Molecule: ribosomal RNA, 264 nt
Filed under: uncultured bacterium
Lineage: Bacteria
Description: partial 16S ribosomal RNA
Rfam family: Bacterial small subunit ribosomal RNA
Source: RNAcentral
GUCCUUGCCGUAAACGAUGCAUACUAGGUGUAGAGGGGCUCAACCCUUUCUGUACUGGAGCUAACGCAUUAAGUAUGCCGCCUGGGGAGUACGCUCGCAAGGGUGAAACUCAAAAGAAUUGACGGGGGCCCCGCACAAGCAGUGGAGCAUGUGGUUUAAUUCGAUGCAACGCGAAGAACCUUACCUGGGCUCGAAAUGUAGAGGACGAUAUCAGAGAUGGUAUUUCCCGAAAGGGCCUUUAUAUAGGUGCUGCAUGGCUGUCGU